AUUGGAAAGAAGACUGAUGAAGAAAAAUAACAGCAUGAUUCAGGCACACCAUUGAGUUCUUUGGGAUGCCCAAAAGUGUCUGGUUGGGAAACAUGAAAUAGAAGACAAGAACCUGCCUCAGCAAGCGUACCUGAGAAUACUUUUAAAGGAACCUGUUGAUAAAUGCAAAACAGUAGCUGUUGCAGCCUUUAAUUUUUAUCUCCUCAACAAUGUAUCAUCAAGAUCAGGGGCACCCAUUAUUUCAUAUCCUGUGACCUUUGGUGGAUGUCUGGCUUUGGAUGCACUGGCUCUCUUUGUAAGGCACAGCCUGUGUUAUUGUCAUAUGUCACCGUGAUCCUUUAGGAUUUUUGUAGUCUUUUUUUUUUUUCCAUCUACCAAUGAAGAACACUACAAAUGUA
RNAcentral lists this small RNA (398 nucleotides) under Pan troglodytes (chimpanzee). RNAcentral's name for it is "processed transcript". The record is from RNAcentral. Lineage: Eukaryota; Metazoa; Chordata; Mammalia; Primates; Hominidae.